This is a long non-coding RNA of Zalophus californianus (California sea lion), 553 nucleotides long. RefSeq lists it as uncharacterized. The record is from RefSeq and is a predicted model, not a curated record. Lineage: Eukaryota; Metazoa; Chordata; Mammalia; Carnivora; Otariidae. The transcript is spliced from 4 exons.
GUGGAGAAGCAGAACAGAGACCAAGAGGAAGCUCCUCAGUCCACAGGGAGUUAGCUCUCCAGUACAUGGUGUCUGGUGCAAGGUCCGGAGAACAACAGUGAUAAUUCACCUUCCUCCUGAAGGAGCUUGCACCUGGCUAUCGCUUUACUUCAUUCGGCCUAUUAAGGCCAUGAAGUUCUCCUCUUGGGCCACAGGUGAAGAAAUGCAGCCUCUUUGACUCAGGGUGACGUCUUCAUGCUAAGGAAUCGCCGUCAGAAAUACUUACUCCUGUUACAUGAAGAGAUGAAAGCCUCUCAAAGCUUUCAUGAAAUCCUUGCCUUGUUUAAAAUUCUCCCACAGUUGCCUUCCUUGUUUGUGGAGUUGUGUGCUGGCUGAGAAGGCUAGCUCUGGAGCUGGCUGGCCAGGGUUCAGUUCCUGUCUCUACCACUUUCCAGGAACAAAAUUGGAAUGAUUACACUUGCCAUAACCCCGGUUGGAAGAUUAAUGACAUGACAUUUGACCAUCUGGUUACAGUUUUUAAGUGGGAACUGCUAAAUAAAGAUACAAACUGGUG